Molecule: ribosomal RNA, 253 nt
Filed under: uncultured bacterium
Lineage: Bacteria
Description: partial 16S ribosomal RNA
Rfam family: Bacterial small subunit ribosomal RNA
Source: RNAcentral
UACGGGGGGGGCAAGCGUUGUUCGGAAUUACUGGGCGUAAAGGGCUCGUAGGUGGCCAACUAAGUCAGACGUGAAAUCCCCCGGCUUAACCGGGGAACUGCGUCUGAUACUGGAUGGCUUGAGUUCGGGAGAGGGAUGCGGAAUUCCAGGUGUAGCGGUGAAAUGCGUAGAUAUCUGGAGGAACACCGGUGGCGAAGGCGGGUCUCUGGGCCGGAACUGACGCUAAGGAGCGAAAGCGUGGGGAGCGAACAGG